RNAcentral lists this transfer RNA (77 nucleotides) under Micromonospora globbae. RNAcentral describes it as "tRNA-Gly". It matches the Rfam family "tRNA". Rfam says of the family: Transfer RNA (tRNA) molecules are approximately 80 nucleotides in length. Their secondary structure includes four short double-helical elements and three loops (D, anti-codon, and T loops). The record is from RNAcentral. Lineage: Bacteria; Bacillati; Actinomycetota; Actinomycetes; Micromonosporales; Micromonosporaceae.
GCGGUUGUAGCGCAGCCUGGCAGCGCGUCACCUCGCCACGGUGAAGGUCGCCGGUUCGACUCCGGCCAGCCGCUCCG